CUGGUGAAAUCCAUUCUUACCAAGAAAUCGGGUGGAGAAUGUAUAAUAAAUGAAUACAACCGAACUAAGUCCUUGACAGAACAGAGCAGAAGAAAAUUGGUGAAUAUACUGGCAGCUGAGAUGACGGAGAAGAAUGGAACAUCUCCGUCAAGACAGGUGAAGGAAAUGUAUGCACAAGGAAUUGUGAACUUGUUCCCCAACCUCAGAGACCCAUUUUCCAAAAAUGGCUAUGUGAAUUACACACUCUUAAUUGUUGUUAUUGUCUUUAUUUUGAGUCGUGCCAAAGUAUGUUGUGACUAAUAGUGCCUAUUUUUGCAAUUCUUUCAAAGGAACAUUUUUAUGAUAGCAACAGUGGUACUGGGUAUUUGGCCUGGAGAAUUAAAACUAUUUAGAGAUGCAGUGCUAAAGAAAGGCGAUCAUCAUUUGGAGGACCAUCCGAUGAAGACAAGUUGAGAGGACCAACUGUUGGACGAGUUACCCAAUUCAUUCCAGAGAUUGUCAUGUCUGAAAAUGAGUGCAAGGAAGCCAUGUCACUGAUGAAACAUUGGGCUGGCGUGGACAUGGUCAUCAAAAAGAUGAAGCUGACAUUUGCCCAUCGGCAAAACAUGGUCAAGCAACAUUCUAUCUUAUUUUCCUAAUUUUGAAGACAUCAAAGACUUGGUUGAACAGGAUUUUGUUCUAAUGUUUGUAGAGGAUUAAUUAGGCAAGUUUCUGGAGAAGUGGCCAACCACAUUCAAAAAGAAGAUCAUCCAACAAUGCAGAAAGCUUCCCUCCGUCUUUGAGCUUGAGGAACUCCUGAUGGCAGCUGACCCUCCUGAGUUAAAGUUAAAGUACCAAUGACUGAGGAUGGGGCUGAAGUAAACGUUGACUUUGGUUGGGACAGUGACCUCUCAUGGAUUUUGCUGCUCUUACACUUGAUCCCACCAACUGCUCUAGGUCGGAAGAGGCCAGGAAAUGUUUCUGCAUCCCAGGCUGAGAAGCAUCUUGUGGUCUUCAAGAAUAUUGGAACAAGCAUCCAAGAACAUCUUGACACCAUUACUACCAUCACUCAACCCUAUCUCCUGGUUGAGGAUGAAUAAAAUCCACCAGUUCUUCAUAAUUCUCGACAAGAAUGUCAUACCUUGCAGGUCACACUCCUCUCUUGGUGCUUUUGAUGAACUGUUUAAAGCACACUUUGUGUUUGCGACAUCAUACCACACCAUGCUCCACAACAUGUACACAUUCAUGCCUUACUCCAAACCAUUUGAUGUUCACAUGGCGUAUGGAACAUUGUGUUCCACAUUGUAUGUUGUCCCAUAUUGCCAUUUUAUGCAGACCUAAGGUCACCCUUUCUGUAUUCUGUCCCUAAAGUUGAUUAUCCUGCCUGACAAAAAAUAA
Nerophis ophidion (straightnose pipefish) is the source of this 1377-nucleotide long non-coding RNA. RefSeq lists it as uncharacterized. NCBI's taxonomy places the organism in Eukaryota, Metazoa, Chordata, Actinopteri, Syngnathiformes, Syngnathidae. The transcript has 6 exons. The record is from RefSeq and is a predicted model, not a curated record.